RNAcentral lists this ribosomal RNA (701 nucleotides) under uncultured bacterium. RNAcentral describes it as "bacterial SSU rRNA". It matches the Rfam family "Bacterial small subunit ribosomal RNA", at positions 8 to 688 of the family's 1533-position model. The record is from RNAcentral.
AGAGUUUGAUCAUGGCUCAGAUUGAACGCUGGCGGUAGGUUUUAUCCAUGCAAGUCGAGCGGUAACAGACAUUUUGAUUCAGCUUGCUGAAUCUAGUGCUGACGAGCGGCGAACUGGUGAGUAACGCGUAGGAAUCUGCCCAGUAGCGGGGGAUAGCCCGAGGAAACUCGGAUUAAUACCGCAUACGCCCUAAGGGGGAAAGGGGGCAUCUUUGAUGCUCUUACUAUUGGAGGAGCCUGCGUAAGAUUAGCUUGUUGGUAGGGUAAAGGCCUACCAAGGCGACGAUCUUUAGCUGGUCUGAGAGGACGAUCAGCCACAUUGGGACUGAGACACGGCCCAGACGUCUACGGACGGCAGCAGGAGAGAAUAUUGGACAAUGAGGGAAACCUUGAUCCAGCCAUACCGCGUGUGUGAAGAAGGCCUUAGGGUUGUAAAGCACUUUAAGCGAUGAAGAAGAAAAGUAAGUUAAUACCUUAUUUUUUUGACGUUACUCGCAGAAUAAGUACCGGCUAACUCCGUGCCAGCAGCCGCGGUAAUACGGAGGGUACAAGCGUUAAUCGGAAUUACUGGGCGUAAAGCGCGCGUAGGCGGUUAAGUAAGUUGGAUGUGAAAGCCCUGGGCUCAACCUAGGAACUGCAUUCAAAACUAUUUAACUAGAGUACGAGAGAGGAGAGUAGAAUUUCUGGUGUAGCGGUGAAAUG